UAGGGAAUCUUCGGCAAUGGGGGGAACCCUGACCGAGCAACGCCGCGUGAGUGAAGAAGGUUUUCGGAUCGUAAAGCUCUGUUGUUAAGGAAGAACGAGUGUGAGAAUGGAAAGUUCAUACUGUGACGGUAUCUAACCAGAAAGCCACGGCUAACUACGUGCCAGCAGCCGCGGUAAUACGUAGGUGGCAAGCGUUGUCCGGAUUGAUUGGGCGUAAAGCGAGCUCAGGCGGUAUAUUAAGUCUGAUGUGAAAGCCCCCGGCUCAACCGGGGAGGCUCAUUGGAAACUGGGUGACGUGAGUGGAGAAGAGGAGAGUGGAUUUCCAUGUGUAGCGGUGAAGUGCGUAGAUAGAUGGAGGAACACGAGUGGCGAAGGCGACUCUCUGGUCUGUAACUGACGCUGAGGCUCGAGAGCGUGGGUAGCAAACAGG
RNAcentral lists this ribosomal RNA (430 nucleotides) under Bacteroidota bacterium. Its description in RNAcentral is "Bacteroidetes bacterium partial 16S ribosomal RNA". It matches the Rfam family "Bacterial small subunit ribosomal RNA", at positions 355 to 776 of the family's 1533-position model. Lineage: Bacteria; Pseudomonadati; Bacteroidota. The record is from RNAcentral.